This is an RNA transcript of Hevea brasiliensis (rubber tree), 2724 nucleotides long. It is a transcript of the gene named protein transport protein SEC23 C, with no coding region annotated. NCBI's taxonomy places the organism in Eukaryota, Viridiplantae, Streptophyta, Magnoliopsida, Malpighiales, Euphorbiaceae. The transcript has 12 exons. The record is from RefSeq and is a predicted model, not a curated record.
AUAAAAAUUCAAACAGGAGUGUACUGUGUAGAGUAUAAUGCAAAGGUCCGGCGGCAAGGCCAAGGGAAGAGAGCGGUUGACAAAUUCGCAGAGCAUUGUUGUUAAUUUGAUUCUCGCGCUCUCUUCUGUAUUACUUAUACAGAUUUUGAUAUUGAAUUCGAUUGAACAUACACUAACACAUACUCAUCUCAAAACAAAAACAAAUAAACCCUAUAGUGGAAAUAAGGAGAAGAAUUAGCAAGAAAAAUGAUGGAAUUCCUGGACCUGGAAUCGCAGGACGGAGUGAGAAUGCCGUGGAACGUGCUUCCGGGCACCAAGCAAGAGGCCAGCAACUGUGUGGUACCCGUCUCAGCCAUUUACACUCCGAUCAAGCACUUCGCCAACAUGCCGGUCCUCCCCUACUCUCCCCUGCGUUGCCGCACCUGCCGCUCCGUGCUUAACCCAUUUUCGAUCGUGGAUUUCGCGGCUAAGAUCUGGAUCUGCCCCUUCUGCUUCCAACGCAAUCACUUCCCGCCUCACUACGCCUCCAUCAGCGACGACAACCUUCCUGCGGAGCUCUUCCCGCAAUACACCACCAUCGAAUACGAGACUCCAGCAGAGAAGUGCUCGUCCUCGUCGGUUUUUAUGUUCGUAGUGGACACUUGCAUCAUCGAGGAGGAGAUGGCCUUCCUCAAGUCAGCCUUGUCCCAGGCCAUCGACCUCCUUCCGGACAAUUCCCUCGUUGGCCUCAUCACUUUUGGGACCUUGGUCCACGUUCACGAGCUAGGCUUCGGCCAGAUCCCCAAAACCUACGUCUUCAAGGGCUCCAAGGACGUGUCCAAGGACCAGCUUCUCGAUCAGAUGGGUUUUUUUCUCAAGAAGCCCAAGCCUCCCACUGGUGUUAUUGCGGGCGCUAGGGAUGGCCUCUCUUCCGAGAGUAUUUCCCGCUUCCUAUUGCCCGCCUCUGAGUGUGAAUUUACUCUCAAUUCGGUGUUGGAAGAGCUGCAGAAAGAUCCUUGGCCUGUUCCGCCUGAUGAGCGGGCUGCCAGGUGUACUGGCACGGCUCUUUGUGUGGCGGCCAGCUUAUUAGGAGCUUGUGUUCCUGGGUCUGGAGCUCGAAUUAUGGCAUUCAUUGGUGGUCCAUCCACUCAAGGACUAGGUGCUAUCGUGUCAAAGAAUCUCUCUGAACCAAUUCGUUCUCACAAGGACCUGGAUAAAGAUUCUGCUCCCCUUUAUCAUAAAGCUGUGAAGUUCUACGAAGGACUUGCAAAGCAGCUUGUGCAUCAAGGCCACGUACUUGAUCUGUUUGCAUGUGCUCUUGACCAGGUGGGGGUUGCUGAACUUAAAGUUGCAGUUGAAAAAACUGGUGGGCUUGUUGUUCUUGCAGAAAGCUUUGGCCAUUCAGUUUUUAAGGACUCACUUAGACGUAUUUUCCAAUUUGAUGACUAUGACCUUGGACUAUCAUCAAAUGGUAUAUUUGAGAUAAACAGCUCAAAGGAUAUCAAAGUUCAAGGCAUUAUUGGCCCCUGUGCAUCGCUUGAAAAGAAAGGUCCUUUGUGCUCCGAUACUGUCAUCGGUCAGGGUAAUACCAGUGCUUGGAAGAUGUGUGGACUAGACAAAGCUACAACUUUAUGUAUAAUAUUUGAAAUUGUGAAGAAGGACAGUCCAGAUGCUUCUGUUCAACCAUCAAGCAAUCAAUUUUACUUCCAAUUUUUGACUUAUUAUCAGCACAGCAGUGGUCAAAUGAGACUCCGCGUUACAACCCUUUCUAGAAGAUGGGUUGCUGGACCUGGAAGCAUACAGGAUUUGAUUGCUGGAUUUGACCAAGAAGCAGCUGCUGUAGCCAUGGCACGCCUAGUCUCUUUCAAAAUGGAAAUUGAGGCUGAGUUUGACCCGAUAAGAUGGCUAGAUAAAGCUUUAAUACAUAUAUGUUCACAAUUUGGAGAUUACCAGAAGGACAGCCCAUCUUCUUUCAGCUUGUCUCCUCGGCUUUCGAUAUUCCCUCAGUUCAUGUUUCAUUUACGACGUUCCCAAUUUGUUCAGGUCUUCAACAACAGCCCGGAUGAGACGGCAUACUUCAGGAUCAUACUGAACAGGGAAAAUGUGGCCAAUUCUGUUGUGAUGAUACAACCUUCACUGAUAUCUUACUCAUUUCAUUCAGGGCCAGAACCAGCUCUUCUUGAUGUGGCUGCCAUUGCAGCUGAUAGGAUCCUGCUUUUGGACUCUUAUUUUACUGUUGUUAUUUUUCAUGGUGCAACUAUUGCUCAGUGGCGAAAAGCUGGCUACCAUAAUCAACCAGAACAUCAGAUUUAAUCAUAGAAGGCAUUGUCCUCUAAGAUGGAGACAAUCUUACCAGUCAGUGCACAAGAAGGUCACCUGCAUGUGAGAUGAAACAUUAACUGAUUAUCAAUGGCCAUAAAGAGUCUUUAGAAUUUGCUUUUGGGUCUAUCAUCUUUCAUUUUUUUUUUGGGUUAAAUCUGUUAUCUUUCUUUUUUGUAGUCAAAUGCCUCCAGCUCCAAUUCUGACAUAAGUUGUUGCCUUAAUGCUCGGUUCUAAUUUGCUUUUGCUUUUGCUUUUGCUCUUGCAGGCAUUUGCCCAAUUGCUGCAAGCGCCCCGUGAUGAUGUGGAUGCGAUAAUCAAGGAAAGGUUUCCUGUUCCUCGUUUAGUCAUUUGUGAUCAACAUGGUUCACAGGCUCGUUUUCUUCUGGCAAAGUUGAAUCCGUCUGCUACAUACAAUACUGAUUC